This 517-nucleotide ribosomal RNA is filed under the name uncultured bacterium. Its description in RNAcentral is "bacterial SSU rRNA". It matches the Rfam family "Bacterial small subunit ribosomal RNA", at positions 29 to 526 of the family's 1533-position model. The record is from RNAcentral.
AACGAACGUUAGCGGCGCGCCUAACACAUGCAAGUCGAGCGAGAAGGGAGCAAUCCCUGUAAAGCGGCGCACGGGUGAGUAACACGUAGGUAAUCUACCUCGAGGUGGUGGAUAACCUUCCGAAAGGAGGGCUAAUACAGCAUGAGACCACGUCCCCGCAAGGGGAUGAGGUCAAAGCGGGCCACUAUACAUAAGCUCGCGCCUUGAGAUGAGCCUGCGGCCCAUCAUGGUAGUUGGUAGGGUAACGGCCUACCAAGCCGAAGACGGGUAGCUGGUCUGAGAGGAUGAUCAGCCACACUGGAACUGAGACACGGUCCAGACUCCUACGGGAGGCAGCAGUGGGGAAUCUUGCGCAAUGGGCGAAAGCCUGACGCAGCGACGCCGCGUGAGUGAUGAAGGCCUUCGGGUUGUAAAGCUCUGUGGAGGGGGACGAAUAAGGGUUGGCUAACAUCCAGCCCGAUGACGGUACCCCUUUAGCAAGCACCGGCUAACUCUGUGCCAGCCGCCGCAGUAAAAC